UGCCGGGAGCCCUGAAGACGCGGUGGCGGGGCGGCGGGGAGCAGGGCGGGAGUGCCCUGGACUCCGCGGAUUCCUUUGGGGCUGGAGGGCCGCACACGUGUUUUACUCCAACUGUUUGCAACUUUUGAAACCCGGGCAAUCUGGCUUUGGCAUUUGAAAACCAUUUCAAACAGGUGGGGGUUGGGGAGGCUGCCACACUCACCCUGGCGCUCACACUCACGCACACGCGCACGCACUCGCGCCGGCCCUAAGCCUCCUAACCGCCCUCGGCCAGUGGCUGGCCAGGCUGUCGGUCACCCAGCCCGGCUGGUUCGCCGCCCCCCUUGCCGCAGGUCCCACUGAAACCCCCGAGACCCGCCCCGGGGCGCUCGCCGCCUCCCUGCCUGCCCUGCGCUUGCGGGUUCGGGUCCUGGCGCGGGGUCUGCCAGGGUCUCUGCGACCCGGGGGAGGGGGACGGUGGGAUCCUCCGGUUCCCCAACUGGGAUCCCUGUGCGGGUCACACGCGCUCUUACACACACCCGCAUCCUUAAACUUUGGGACCAACUUUUUAGGACACGGGAAACUACAGGCAAGAGAGAGAAGCCAUGGUGCUAGUGUGGGUUCAGGUAUUCAACCAAAAAAGAGAUCCCUCUAGCUUUUCAACUGCCCUGCCAGCAGAGACUGCUGGACCCAGUCAAUCAUCUGCCCCGGCCUCAAGUUCCUGGCAGGGCCGAGAAGCCUGCGGACCUACUCCGGGGCCAGGAGAUAAGGAUCCCCGCCGGGCGCGGACAUGCCCUGCGUCCUGGCGCCCGCGGGGGCGUGAGAGAACUCGGAAUUCGCAGCCCGGGGGUAGCUGCGGCCUCCGGAGGUCGCCCGGGGGUGCGGAUGGAGUGACUUCUGUCCCGGCGAGGUGGCGGACAGAAAGACUCCCAUACCACAGGAAGGCUGCCCUUCCCAAAUACUCCUCAAAUCAGGCUGCUGAGUAGUCUCCCCAGCAGUUUGUUUUCCUCUUUAGUGAUGUAUAAUUUUGUUCAUCUUUGGUCACAGGAGAGAUUCCAAGAAAUGAGGGGGGUACGUUGAAACGAUGAAGAAAGGAUGGACACAGCAGUCGAGGUUGAGAGGUAGGCUCAGGGGUCCACCCUUGUGUGACCUUGAGCAAGCUUGGUGACCUCCGCGCCUCCGUUUCUCGCUGAUCAAAUAAGUAGAACAAGACCUCACAGGGUUCUUGGAAGUAUUACGUGGGAAAACACUUAUAAAGUGGCAAAUAAUAAAAACUCAUUAUAUUCUUAAUAGUAGUAUUACUAUUUGGGAAGAAAAUUGGGAAAUCAUUUGGGGAUUCAAGUUAGUAAGUAUGAUAAUUUAUCCUCUCCUUUCUAGAACUUAGAAAAUAUGGGCAUACUUUGUGUGUUUGUUUUUUGAUGGUGGUGGUGGUGUUUUUAGAAACGUGGUCUUGCUUUGUCCCCAAGCUGGAGUGCAGUAGCUCGACUAGCUGAUUGUAACCUCGAACUUCUGGACUCAAGCAAUCCUACCACCUCAGCCUCCUGAGUAUCUGGAAUUAUAGGCACAUGCCACCAUGCCCAGCUAGUUUUAUUUUUUUGAUUUUUUGUAGACAUGGGGGGGUCUCCCUAUGUUGAUUGCCCAGGCUGGUCUCAAACUCCUGGGCUCAAGCCAACCUCCUGACUCAGCUUCCCAAAGUGCUGGGGUUAUAGAUGUGAGCCACCAUACCUGGUUUAGGCAUACGUUUAAACAUCCUUUUAAAGCAUUGUAGGGUGCUAUUCUAAGCUAAUAAAAGUAAGGAGGGAUGUUGAUGCUUCUCUCUUGGGAUAUCCAGAACUGAAAAUCCCAUUGCAUUGUUGUGUUUCUGAAAAAAGGAGGUGACCAAUUUUCCAUGGCUUUGCUUGGUGAGAGGAACUUUGUCUCCAGCUUUUUUUCAGAAGCAAUCUAGGUCAAUAUGAACAGCACUUCAAAACAUAAAUUAUCAAACCCGAGCACAGAUCCAGCCAAUCAGAAUGUCAAGGAAGGGCUAAGUCAUUUGAACUUUUAAGGUUCCCCUUAUGUGUUGUUGGUACACAACGCUGAGCACCAUAGGUUUAGUAUCUUGAUUCCAAAGCAUUGUUUGGGUCCCAGACCUUUUUGUCAAAUAAACCUGUGAUCCACAUCUCUGUGUAAAAUAAAAACUCAAGGAGGUCAGGACACUUUGACAGUUUGGUUUACUGAUGUAUUAUUCCCAGUUCCUAGAAUGGUGCCUCGUACUAGCAAAUGCUAAAAUAUUUGUCAAAUGACUCUUUCCACAAAAAUGUACAUUUUUACUUUCCAUGUUAGUGGGGAGUCACAGAUUCCCCUGCAAAUCAUUAGUAAGCUUAGUAAGCUUAGCCUUGUGUGUUUCCCCACUUUGCCACUUCAUAUUCUAGUAAAGUGUAAUUGUUUGCUAAGAAUACCCACAACCAACCUUGAAUUAGGAGUCCCCUACCUCUCCACUCAACUCUCACCUCUGCCUGGGGGAGUCCAAGGGCUGGACAAGACCAGGCGUUUUGUGAUUCCUCCCAAUGCAACAACAUCCCCCUCUUGCCAGGAUUCCAGGUGUCACCACAGCAGCUGAGAAAGGAAAGAACUUGGAAUUUAGCAUACGUCAGGUUUUAGAUGUGGAAAAGCCCCAAAAGAAGGAGUAGUACCUGUGGGCACAGAGGGCAAUAUGGAGAGAAUAGACAUUAUUCUAAUUCAGGAAAAGGAAAAAUAAUUUGAACCUUCAAAGUAGCCAAGGCUGCCAGUUUCCAGGAUGCUCCCUCUGCAUCUUCCCGGCUGGUGUUUCACCUGGUCUAGUUCCUGUGUCCCAGACUGGAGAAGUUCAAGGCAGAGAUCAUCUCUCUCCUAUCCAACCUUUGAAACCUCAAUACCAAAAACCAUGAACCAUGCCUUGUGUGGAGUGUGCACCAUACACAGUUGUUGAGUGAAUUGAUGAAGUGUGACAUGAAAUUGUUGAAUAAAUGGAUGAAG
RNAcentral lists this long non-coding RNA (2973 nucleotides) under Homo sapiens (human). Its description in RNAcentral is "HSALNT0312273". The record is from RNAcentral. Lineage: Eukaryota; Metazoa; Chordata; Mammalia; Primates; Hominidae.